RNAcentral lists this ribosomal RNA (216 nucleotides) under Glomeromycotina sp. Its description in RNAcentral is "partial small subunit ribosomal RNA". The stretch from base 40 to 216 matches the Rfam family "Eukaryotic small subunit ribosomal RNA", at positions 686 to 864 of the family's 1831-position model. Lineage: Eukaryota; Fungi; Glomeromycota. The record is from RNAcentral.
GGAUCAGUAGGUUGGUCGUGCCACCGGUACGUACUGGUCUCACUGAUUCCUCCUUCCUGAAGAACCGUAAUGCCAUUAAUUUGGUGUCGCGGGGAAACAGGACUGUUACUUUGAAAAAAUUAGAGUGUUUAAAGCAAGCUAACGCUUGAAUACAUUAGCAUGGAAUAAUGAAAUAGGACGAUCGAUCCUAUUUUGUUGGUUUCUAGGAUUGACGUA